UACGUAGGGUGCGAGCGUUAAUCGGAAUCACUGGGCUUAAAGGGUGCGCAGGCGGUCCGGAAAGUGUCCUGUGAAAUCCCACGGCUCAACCGUGGAAUUGCGGGGCAAACUUCCAGACUUGAGGAAGGUAGAGGCCGUUGGAACGAUAGGUGGAGCGGUGGAAUGCGUAGAGAUCUAUCGGAACGCCGAAGGUGAAGACAGACGGCUGGGCCUUUCCUGACGCUCAUGCACGAAAGCGUGGGGAGCAAACCGG
RNAcentral lists this ribosomal RNA (253 nucleotides) under uncultured bacterium. RNAcentral's name for it is "partial 16S ribosomal RNA". It matches the Rfam family "Bacterial small subunit ribosomal RNA", at positions 524 to 776 of the family's 1533-position model. The record is from RNAcentral.